This is a long non-coding RNA of Pieris napi, 707 nucleotides long. RefSeq lists it as uncharacterized. The record is from RefSeq and is a predicted model, not a curated record. The transcript has 4 exons. NCBI's taxonomy places the organism in Eukaryota, Metazoa, Arthropoda, Insecta, Lepidoptera, Pieridae.
GUAGUGACUUGUAAAUCAUUUAUUCGAAAAUGUUGAAGCUUAUACGUGUUACAACGCUUUUUUGCGUUAUAUAUUUUACUAAAGCUUCUGUAAAUUUGGGUUCGGGUCUCUGGUACAUACACACAAUUCUCGACUGCAAUGAUGAAUUACCGCGAAUGGUAGGCAACAUAACCAUCGACAAACAUAAAUUGAAUCGUACGCAUGACAUAUAUGACUUGGACAUGGAUGUAUAUGAAACCGUUGGGAAUACCUUUGGGGUACUAAUCAAUUUUUACAAAAAGACAGACGGCGGUAGCAAGCUAUUUCAAGUGAUGGCAGAUAAUGAUAUAGAAAAGUUUGUUGAAAAGUAUGCUCCUAAUAACGCGAAGGUAGUGUUUACUAAGGCUGGAAUGGAUCCCCCAGGUUUUCCUGUCCAAGCGGGUUCAUACAAAAUAGAAGACUUCUUCUUUGACCAUUGUGAAUUGCCAGAUAUUGCCAUAUAUGGGGAGUUCACCGUAGAUGCAUUUAUCGUGAAAGAUGAUAUACGAGUGGCAUGCUUCAGGGGACACGUUGAAUUCAAGGAGGACGAAGACGAUAUUUGCAAACGAACUUCUUCCACAGCAGACCAGAUAGGGAAUUUGAAGACGUUCUAUUGAAAAUAUCCUGAUAUUUAUAAAGACAUGUUUUCUGUUUCAUAUAUUUUGUUUAUCAAUGUAAUGUGCUUUGUG